GCUCCGGCUUCCGCUAUCGGAUGAGCCUAUGUCGGAUUAGCUGGUUGGUGAGGUAAUGGCUCACCAAGGCGACGAUCCGUAGCUGGUCUGAGAGGAUGAUCAGCCACAUCGGGACUGAGACACGGCCCGAACUCCUACGGGAGGCAGCAGUGGGGAAUAUUGGACAAUGGGGGGAACCCUGAUCCAGCCAUGCCGCGUGUGUGAAGAAGGCCCUCGGGUUGUAAAGCACUUUCAGUGAGGAAGAACGCCUGGUGGUUAAUACCCAUCAGGAAAGACAUCACUCACAGAAGAAGCACCGGCUAACUCCGUGCCAGCAGCCGCGGUAAUACGGAGGGUGCGAGCGUUAAUCGGAAUUACUGGGCGUAAAGCGCGCGUAGGUGGCUUGAUAAGCCGGUUGUGAAAGCCCCGGGCUCAACCUGGGAACGGCAUCCGGAACUGUCAAGCUAGAGUGCAGGAGAGGAAGGUAGAAUUCCCGGUGUAGCGGUGAAAUGCGUAGAGANUCNGGGAGGAAUACCAGUGGCGAAGGCGGCCUUCUGGACUGACACUGACACUGAGGUGCGAAAGCGUGGGUAGCAAACANGGAUUAGAUACCCUGGUAGUCCACGCCGUAAACGAUGUCGACCAGCCGUUGGGUGCCUAGCGCACUUUGUGGCGGAGUUAACGCGAUAAGUCGACCGCCUGGGGAGUACGGCCGCAAGNGUUANAAANNNAAAUGAAUUGACGGGGGCCCGCACAAGCGGUGGAGCAUGUGGUUUAAUUCGAUGCAACGCGAAGAACCUUACCUACUCUUGACAUCCUGCGAAUUUGGUAGAGAUACCUUAGUGCCUUCGGGAACGCAGAGACAGGUGCUGCAUGGCUGUCGUCAGCUCGUGUUGUGAAAUGUUGGGUUAAGUCCCGUAACGAGCGCAACCCUUGUCCUUAUUUGCCAGCGCGUAAUGGCGGGAACUCUAAGGAGACUGCCGGUGACAAACCGGAGGAAGGUGGGGACGACGUCAAGUCAUCAUGGCCCUUACGAGUAGGGCUACACACGUGCUACAAUGGUCGGUACAAAGGGUUGCCAACUCGCGAGAGUGAGCCAAUCCCGAAAAGCCGAUCUCAGUCCGGAUCGGAGUCUGCAACUCGACUCCGUGAAGUCGGAAUCGCUAGUAAUCGUGGAUCAGAAUGCCACGGUGAAUACGUUCCCGGGCCUUGUACACACCGCCCGUCACACCAUGGGAGUGGACUGCAC
RNAcentral lists this ribosomal RNA (1228 nucleotides) under uncultured Halomonas sp. RNAcentral's name for it is "bacterial SSU rRNA". It matches the Rfam family "Bacterial small subunit ribosomal RNA", at positions 208 to 1420 of the family's 1533-position model. Lineage: Bacteria; Pseudomonadati; Pseudomonadota; Gammaproteobacteria; Oceanospirillales; Halomonadaceae. The record is from RNAcentral.